This 206-nucleotide ribosomal RNA is filed under the name uncultured bacterium. Its description in RNAcentral is "partial 16S ribosomal RNA". It matches the Rfam family "Bacterial small subunit ribosomal RNA", at positions 1295 to 1500 of the family's 1533-position model. The record is from RNAcentral.
GGAUUGUAGUCUGCAACCCGACUACAUGAAGCUGGAAUCGCUAGUAAUCGCGAAUCAGAAUGUCGCGGUGAAUACGUUCCCGGGUCUUGUACACACCGCCCGUCACACCAUGGGAGUUGGAAAUGCCCGAAGUCAGUGACCCAACCGCAAGGAGGGAGCUGCCGAAGGCAGGUCCGGUAACUGGGGUGAAGUCGUAACAAGGUAGC